CGUAGGGUGCGAGCGUUAAUCGGAAUUACUGGGCGUAAAGCGUGCGCAGGCGGUUUUGUAAGACAGGCGUGAAAUCCCCGGGCUUAACCUGGGAACUGCGUUUGUGACUGCAAGGCUAGAGUACGGCAGAGGGGGGUGGAAUUCCACGUGUAGCAGUGAAAUGCGUAGAGAUGUGGAGGAACACCAAUGGCGAAGGCAGCCCCCUGGGUCGAUACUGACGCUCAUGCACGAAAGCGUGGGUAGCAAACAGGAUUAGAUACCCUGGUAGUCCACGCCCUAAACGAUGUCAACUAGGUGUUGGGAGGGUAAAACCUUUUAGUACCGUAGCUAACGCGAGAAGUUGACCGCCUGGGGAGUACGGCCGCAAGGUUA
Molecule: ribosomal RNA, 372 nt
Filed under: uncultured organism
Description: bacterial SSU rRNA
Rfam family: Bacterial small subunit ribosomal RNA
Source: RNAcentral